This 54-nucleotide transfer RNA is filed under the name Ascoschoengastia sp. TATW-1. RNAcentral's name for it is "tRNA-Tyr". The record is from RNAcentral. Lineage: Eukaryota; Metazoa; Arthropoda; Arachnida; Trombidiformes; Trombiculidae.
UUAGGAGUUUCUAAGAAUUGUAAAUUCUUAAUAGGCCCAAUUAAGCCCCCUAUC